This is a long non-coding RNA of Cucurbita moschata (crookneck pumpkin), 825 nucleotides long. RefSeq lists it as uncharacterized. The record is from RefSeq and is a predicted model, not a curated record. NCBI's taxonomy places the organism in Eukaryota, Viridiplantae, Streptophyta, Magnoliopsida, Cucurbitales, Cucurbitaceae. The transcript is spliced from 4 exons.
CUCGUCUGAAGCGCUCAACAACCACCGCUCUGGUCAAAACCCGGCACGGUGGAAAUGAGACACCCUCCGCCCUCCAUUCUUCUUCCAUCUGCUGUUCUUCAUUUCGCGGUGCUCUUUAAGCAUUCUAAUCGAUGUAAUUGUUUCAUUUUAAAUUUCUUUCUUUCUGCGUAUGUUCUUCGAAAUCGAUUAUCCGAUCAAGCUUCUUCGAUCGCGCUGGCGUGCAAAUCUCAUCUGUAAUGUAGCCAGCUCAUUGGCCUCUGGUUUUUCUCGGCCAUUGGCGAGCAUUUGGAUCCUCACUUGAUUUUCUCUCUGGAAGGACCUGCAGUUUGUGGAUCAACAUGGGAUUUCAUAGAGAAUUUCUGCGUUGCCGAUUUGCUAAAGAUGGGCAUGAUCUUGAUUCUUUCAUACUUUGGUAUUUUACUCCUAUGUUUAUUACAUAAAAUUGGCGUCUUCGGCUGCAUCGGUCGGGGUCGGGAGGGUUCUGCAGAACGAUAUGGACUUGUUUAGCUUGUCAUUGUCAAAAGAACAAGAAGGCAGGCACUUUAGAAGAAAGGACCUGGAAGAAAAGUUUGAAAGUGAAGAAGGAAAACAUCGGCAUGGGGUCAACAAGCGAUUCGAGCAAUUUCCCCAAACGUGUUGAGUCGAGAACUAGCAGACGGGUGUCUCGUAGAUAGAUGAGGAACCACAGAGGUUUUGAAGUGAGAAAGUCAUCGAGGUCGAAAAGUCAUGGAAUUCGAGUUAAGGAAGAGUAGAGUGUUGGUCUAUGGUAAGCACAGAAGAAAAUCUGUUGAGGUUGGGACUCAUUUGAAUGAGAUUCUCCACAAU